CGCACGGCUUCCAGCCCGAGGGGAGACGCAUUCGAGUGAUCACCAGGAGCGAACUUGGCGCCCGCAGCCUUGGGCCUGGGAGAGCCUGUUCGGCGUCUUGCAGCAGUGCCUGCGAUCCCGCGUGAGUCCGUCGCUCCCUCCGCGAAAACCUGGACUCUUUCCCAGAAGCCUUGGGCUCCAGCACCAUGCCUGCUGCAGCCGCCAAAGAGCGGGAAGCCACAGGCUCUGCGGGUCUUGGUUACAGCGUCUCUGGUCGUGCCGGGCCUCCUUCUGCAUCUGUUCCACGGCCCGGCCAUCUCCCUCGUGCAGCCCAGAACAAUUGGGAGGAAGCGUUGGCGGGCGGAGGGGGAUGCCUGUUGGGCUUUUCCACUAGUUACUGAGUGUUUUUUGCGAAGAGUACGUUGCUAUCAGUGGCGUCCGGGUCGUCUCUCCCUCUCUUCCUUUUGGUCCCCAUAAAUGAGCUGUUCUCGGCUCUGGGAAAGAAAAGCCCUCCAGCGAUUAUGCGGAUCUAAUUAAGUCAAUCAGGAAACUGCCGGAGAGCGGCACUGGCUUGAAGCGGAGUUUGUCCUGAGGCACAGCGGAACGAUUGCACGCGGCCCUUUUCAGCGGUUCGAGCUCGGCCAGCGCCGGGCUGCAAACGGAAGCCUGAGCUGGGCUUGGGGAACUACGCCCGCAGAUUUCUCUAAUUUUAUUCACAAAACUGGACACCCUCAGGGAAAGCGGCAAAGCCGGCGCGAGCCUCCUUCCCACUCUGGACCUAGCUGCAGCUCCAAAGCGAGAUAGCUGUCUAGCCUCAGCCGGUACAGCUCCCGGCCCCUUUCUCCACCCGGAUCUUCGGCUGCUCAGAAGCGAUCAGCUCCCUUAGCCCAGGUGGGAGGCGGGAGACUCCAGAUCCUGUGACCCGCGGAGGCAGACCUCAGACAUGUUCCCCAUGCACAGAAAUGACUGGGGCUCCAGUGUGUGCACCUUCAACUCUGAAGCCCACCUGCCCACUUCAGGCGCUGGCGCGGAGAUAACCACCACGCGUCUGCCGGGCAAAGUUCGAGAGUGAAUUUACAUCUUCUCUUUCCGCUACUCCUGGCCACUGUCCCCUCCCAGCCCCAUCUCCCCCGCCCCCAACCCUGGACUAUGUGGUAGGGGACUCGCUUAAGCACCCAAGUACUGCGCGGUUGUUGAGACCAAGGCGAGCUGCGGAGCCUGUGGGCUGUUGUUCGUGGGAAGAGGGUUGCGACCUCAGGAGAGACCGAAAACAGCGCCACUUGAAACCCGCCGGUCCUGAAGAUCACAGAGUUCCCGGAGUGGUAGGGAAGGCUCCACGCUCUUGAGAGCAGAGGCGGCCAGGGGCAGUGGGGGACGCUUCCAGGUAUGUGGGAAGGAGAACUUCAUGUCUAAGUGCGCUCUUGUGGGUUUCUCGGCCAGCUGGGCCGAGCCUCUCUUUCUCUGUCCUCAUGUGUCUGUCCUCUGGACAACAGUGGCUCUGUAUGGCGGAUUGCGACCCUGAGUGACGGGCGCCUGUCUUGCAUCCUGUGUCCUGUGUCCUCCCCUCCAGACCUCAUGCUUGGUGUCCACAGAGUGGACCCAGGACUGCCUGGAAGGCUUAUCAUCCAGGCCCGCGACUUCCCCCCAGAGUCUGAAGCCUUGCGACCUGGUCGGGGACGACAAACCUGCUCGGGGUCAACAGCGAGACCCUAGUGGGGAAUGAGGAUGGGUGAGGGUGCGCCUGGGUUGAGGGUCUGUGACUGUAGCAUGGAAAAGGAGUUCAUGCAGGGAUCGCACUGAGGGACAGCCAAGAAUACUCCAGCGGCAGCCUCCCUCCUACCAAUUACACGCCGCCUGCUGGCACAGUGGCACCUCGGGAACAGGACGCCCUUCCGGGCCCUGAAUUGGGGCAGCGCAGGAGGGAGGGUGCAGAGCCAUAGCGACCUGUGUGUACCAUAGACAUGCACAUGCGCUCACCUUCACGUGUAACCCUUCUGAGUCCCAGACAGGGUAACUGGCGAGGCCGUAAGUACCCUCGUGGGGGCGGAAAUAUUGCCGCGUCCCUGAGUCCUCUGGGCAGAUGCAGAGCCGCGUAAGCCUCAUAGAAGCAAAGCCAGGGGAACAGUGGGAGCUCUGGCCUCGCGGUGCGGACGCUAGUAAUGGAUUCCUGGGGAACAGCGACCUCUGGAGGAGCCUCUCAUCCACACAGAGUCAGGAACUAAAGGACUGGUUCUGAGACAAAGCACCCUUUCCUCACCCUACUCCCAUUCCACCCGCUUGGAAAAGUUAUCCAGAGACUUUUAACCUCCGGACUCCACUCUUCGCUUAUGUUUGCUUUUUUUUCCAACCUGUACCCACGCUUCAAAAUCCCUGCUCCAGUCCUGCCUCUUCCAGAAAGAAGCCUUCUGGCCAGCCCAGUUCCUCUUCCCCUCUUCCUGUUCUGAGCUCAUUCUCAGGCCACACUGCACAGCCAACCUGCUUCCUGCCUGCUCUUCUCCAAAAAGACUGUGAAUCCACUCCACCCACGCCUUGUGUUGCAUGCUGGGCAUGCCGUUCCCUGCCCCAACCCACCCCACCCCCCAGUGAAUAAAGACUGAAGUUAUUCAUUCCAAAAUUGGACUGUUGAUUUUUCAAAGUUAAUUUCACCGAUGGGGAAAUUGAGACCCAGAGAGAGGGAUGACUUGCCCAAAAUCACACAGCAAACUGGUAGCAGAGGUGGAACUAGAACCCUACACCAUUUCCCAGGCCAGGGUGCUCUUCAUCUCACCUGGAUGGGGAGCAGGUAAUUUGGGGAGAACUCACUUUGAUGGGUGAGACCUGAAUUGAGGUUUCACACUGGAGCGGGGAAUGCAGGAGGAAACUGAGAGAGUGGUCAUUGCUCCAGGAUGAGGCAGGGAGGGCAAUGCUGUGCUGGGAGGCCAGACCCUUCUUUCUCCCAUCCUCAGCCCAGAUCAAGCUACUUGGAAGGACUUCACAUUUCAGGGGUUGGCUGCAUUUCUUACAUCAGCAAGUGGGCAGGGCUAAGGUCUGGGAACAGACUCAACUCUGGAAAAUACCACCCUCCCCCAUCCACCACCACCACCCAAGGGAAGGAGGAGCUGAGAAACCUCUCCUGCUCAUACACUCAGAGGGCACUGCAGAGACCCCAGAUCAACAGGAGGCCUUCUGGUGCUUGCAAUUCAGUUAGUGAAAAGGUGGAAGUGUGAUUUGCAUGAGGCUCUAGUGAUACCUGCUCAGUAGCCUGAGGCCUUCUCAGAGCUGCAUCACUUUCUGUGUAUAGAGUCCUUGUCUGCACAGGAUACCUGGCAGCCUGGCCCCUACCUGCUUGCCCAGCCCCUACCUCCAACUCCUGUUCUCUACUCACACCUGAUUUCCUCUUUCUUCCCUCUUCACCUUUGCAGGUGGCUCACUCUUGCCUGGCUCACUUCUAAUCCUUCCUAGUUAAUUUCACACAUCAAGUUUGUGAGAUGCUUUCCCUGACAACACUCCUGCGCUCACCUGACUCCCACCUCUGUGUUCCUGAAGCUCUUAGCUCCAUCUGUUUUUGUUACUUGUUUUUCAGUCUGUAGAUUUUAUUAUAGACCAGGAGUCCUCAACCUUUUUGGCACCAGGGUCUGGUUUCAUGGAAGACAGUUUUUUCCACAGACCAAGGUGGUGGUGGGCAAAUGGUUUUGGGAUGAAACUGUUCUACCUCAUAUCAUCAGGCAUUAGUUACAUUAUCAUAAGGACCACGCAACAGGCGGGGCAUGGUGGCUCACACCUUGUAAUCCCAGCACUCUGGGAGGCUGAGGUGGGUGAAUCAUUUGAGGUCAGGAGUUUGAGACCAACCUGGCCAACAUGGUGAAAUCCCGCCUCUAGUAAAAAUACAAAAAUUAGCUGGGCGUUGUAGUGGGUGCCUUUAGUCCCAGCUACCUGGGAGGCUGAGGCAGGAGAAUUCCUUGAACCCAGGAGGCAGAGGUUGCAGUGAGCCGAGAUUGCACCACUGCACUCCAGCCUGGGCAACAGAGUGAGACUCCAGUCUCAAAAAUAAAUAAAUAAAUAAAAAAUAAGGAGCACGCAACCUAGAUCCCUCACAUGCGCAGUUCACAAUAGGGUUUGUGCUCCUAUGAGAAUCUAAUGUCGCCACUGAUCUGACAGGAGGCGGAGCUCGGGUGGUAAUACUUGCUCACCCGCAGCUGACCUCCUGCUGUGUGGCCAGGUUCUUAACAGGUCACCGGUUAGGAACCAGUUAGUGGCCAGGGGGUUAGGGAUCCCUGCUUUAGACUGUGAGCUCCUUGAGAACAGGGCUCAUUUUGUGUUCAUCUUUAUCUUUCCUCUUCUGCAAAAUGGGGAUAAUAAUUGUACCUACCUCAUUGGAUUGCUGUAAGGAUUAAAAGAGAUGAUGCACAUAUAAAGCACUUAGCCUACUACCUGAAACUUUGAAAGAUCUCAAUAAAGGCCGGGCGUGGUGGCUCACGCCUGUAAUCCCAGCACUUUGGGAAGCUGAGGCAGGCAGAUCACCUGAGAUCAGGAGUUGGAAACCAGCCUGGCUAACAUGAUGAAACCCCAUCUCUAUUAAAAAUACUAAAAUUA
RNAcentral lists this long non-coding RNA (4551 nucleotides) under Homo sapiens (human). RNAcentral describes it as "HSALNT0006436". Lineage: Eukaryota; Metazoa; Chordata; Mammalia; Primates; Hominidae. The record is from RNAcentral.